GCACGCUUAGCUCAGUUGGCUAGAGCGCCUCGCCUACACCGAGGAUGUCGGGGGUUCAAGUCCCUCAGCGUGCA
RNAcentral lists this transfer RNA (74 nucleotides) under bacterium. RNAcentral's name for it is "tRNA-Val". It matches the Rfam family "tRNA". Rfam says of the family: Transfer RNA (tRNA) molecules are approximately 80 nucleotides in length. Their secondary structure includes four short double-helical elements and three loops (D, anti-codon, and T loops). The record is from RNAcentral.